RNAcentral lists this ribosomal RNA (404 nucleotides) under Bacillota bacterium. RNAcentral's name for it is "Firmicutes bacterium partial 16S ribosomal RNA". It matches the Rfam family "Bacterial small subunit ribosomal RNA", at positions 355 to 776 of the family's 1533-position model. RNAcentral also lists the same sequence under 2 other names. The record is from RNAcentral. Lineage: Bacteria; Bacillati; Bacillota.
UGGGGAAUAUUGGACAAUGGGCGCAAGCCUGAUCCAGCAAUGCCGCGUGAGUGAUGAAGGCCUUCGGGUUGUAAAGCUCUUUCGCACGCGACGAUGAUGACGGUAGCGUGAGAAGAAGCCCCGGCUAACUUCGUGCCAGCAGCCGCGGUAAUACGAAGGGGGCUAGCGUUGUUCGGAAUUACUGGGCGUAAAGGGCGCGUAGGCGGUACUUCAAGUCAGGCGUGAAAGCCCCGGGCUCAACCUGGGAACCGCGCUUGAGACUGGAGAACUAGAGUUCGGGAGAGGAUGGUGGAAUUCCCAGUGUAGAGGUGAAAUUCGUAGAUAUUGGGAAGAACACCGAUGGCGAAGGCAGCCAUCUGGACCGACACUGACGCUGAGGCGCGAAAGCGUGGGGAGCAAACAGG